This 440-nucleotide ribosomal RNA is filed under the name uncultured bacterium. Its description in RNAcentral is "partial 16S ribosomal RNA". It matches the Rfam family "Bacterial small subunit ribosomal RNA", at positions 338 to 795 of the family's 1533-position model. The record is from RNAcentral.
CCUACGGGUGGCAGCAGUGGGGAAUAUUGCACAAUGGGGGAAACCCUGAUGCAGCGACGCCGCGUGAGCGAUGAAGUAUUUCGGUAUGUAAAGCUCUAUCAGCAGGGAAGAAAAUGACGGACCUUGACUAAGAAGCCCCGGCUAAAUACGUGCCAGCAGCCGCGGUAAUACGUAGGGGGCAAGCGUUAUCCGGAUUUACUGGGUGUAAAGGGAGCGUAGACGGUCCUGCAAGCCAGAUGGGAAAGCCCGGGGCACAACCCCGGGACUGCAUUUGGAACUGUAAGGCUAGAGUGUCGGAGAGGCAGGCGGAAUGCGUAGUGUAGCGGUGAAAUGCGUAGAUAUUAGGAGGAACACCAGUGGCGAAGGCGGCCUGCUGGACGAUGACUGACGUUGAGGCUCGAAAGCGUGGGGAGCGAACAGGAUUAGAUACCCUAGUAGUC